RNAcentral lists this long non-coding RNA (614 nucleotides) under Mus musculus (house mouse). RNAcentral's name for it is "long non-coding RNA chr8:8852415-8853029". Lineage: Eukaryota; Metazoa; Chordata; Mammalia; Rodentia; Muridae. The record is from RNAcentral.
ACAGUUGUUAGGAAUGGACGAGUGUUGGUGAAGUGGGAAUGCAGAGAAAGUAAUAGACAGGAGUGGGGGCAACACAGUUAGCAUUUGAAAAUGGACGGAUUCUGAUUUGUUAGAGAAGAGAGAGAAAAAGGAAUGGCAGUCCAGGCAAGAGACAAAGACACAUGGAGAGCUGACAGAAGAAUAAAUAGUUUGAUCAUGUUUGAAGUGAUCCAGGAAGACGGAAACAACAUUUGCCAUUUAACCCCAGCUUAGCUGGUCAUGGACAGCCAUUGCACAGGUGGUGCUGUGUGGCCACUGGGUAUCCGUUUCUUUCUUUUAGACCUGAGCUGGAAGUGGCACUUCAGAAUCAGGACCCAAGCUAUGUAAACAGCUGCACAGGCUUCACAAUAACCUUGUUUCCCCAUAGUUAGGUAAACAGGAGCCAAUUCCAUGAUACAUUAUCAAAAGCAAAGACAGCUGGCAACAGCCACCCUCUCCAAACACAGAGACUUUUGACAUUUCAGAAGAAUAGAAAGUACCACUUUUCCUAAACAGAUAUUCUCCAUGUUGGAGGCUAUUGUGUUACCGAACUUUUUUUUAUACCCCAUUAGAAACUGUAUCUGCAGCCCAGGUCU